GACGGACGCUGGCGGCGUGCUUAACACAUGCAAGUCGAACGGAAAGGCCCUGCUUUUGUGGGGUGCUCGAGUGGCGAACGGGUGAGUAACACGUGAGUAACCUGCCCUUGACUUUGGGAUAACUUCAGGAAACUGGGGCUAAUACCGGAUAGGAGCUCCUGCUGCAUGGUGGGGGUUGGAAAGUUUCGGCGGUUGGGGAUGGACUCGCGGCUUAUCAGCUUGUUGGUGGGGUAGUGGCUUACCAAGGCUUUGACGGGUAGCCGGCCUGAGAGGGUGACCGGCCACAUUGGGACUGAGAUACGGCCCAGACUCCUACGGGAGGCAGCAGUGGGGAAUAUUGCACAAUGGGCGGAAGCCUGAUGCAGCAACGCCGCGUGCGGGAUGACGGCCUUCGGGUUGCAAACCGCUUUCGCCUGUGACGAAGCGUGAGUGACGGUAAUGGGUAAAGAAGCACCGGCUAACUACGUG
RNAcentral lists this ribosomal RNA (468 nucleotides) under uncultured bacterium. RNAcentral describes it as "partial 16S ribosomal RNA". It matches the Rfam family "Bacterial small subunit ribosomal RNA", at positions 28 to 507 of the family's 1533-position model. The record is from RNAcentral.